GCAAGUCGAACGGUGAACACGGAAGCUUGCUCUGUGGGAUCAGUGGCGAACGGGUGAGUAACACGUGAGCAACCUGCCCCUGACUCUGGGAUAAGCGCUGGAAACGGCGUCUAAUACUGGAUACGAGUAGCGACCGCAUGGUCAGUUACUGGAAAGAUUUAUUGGUUGGGGAUGGGCUCGCGGCCUAUCAGCUUGUUGGUGAGGUAAUGGCUCACCAAGGCGUCGACGGGUAGCCGGCCUGAGAGGGUGACCGGCCACACUGGGACUGAGACACGGCCCAGACUCCUACGGGAGGCAGCAGUGGGGAAUAUUGCACAAUGGGCGCAAGCCUGAUGCAGCAACGCCGCGUGAGGGAUGACGGCCUUCGGGUUGUAAACCUCUUUUAGCAGGGAAGAAGCGAAAGUGACGGUACCUGCAGAAAAAGCGCCGGCUAACUACGUGCCAGCAGCCGCGGUAAUACGUAGGGCGCAAGCGUUAUCCGGAAUUAUUGGGCGUAAAGAGCUCGUAGGCGGUUUGUCGCGUCUGCUGUGAAAUCCGGAGGCUCAACCUCCGGCCUGCAGUGGGUACGGGCAGACUAGAGUGCGGUAGGGGAGAUUGGAAUUCCUGGUGUAGCGGUGGAAUGCGCAGAUAUCAGGAGGAACACCGAUGGCGAAGGCAGAUCUCUGGGCCGUAACUGACGCUGAGGAGCGAAAGGGUGGGGAGCAAACAGGCUUAGAUACCCUGGUAGUCCACCCCGUAAACGUUGGGAACUAGUUGUGGGGUCCAUUCCACGGAUUCCGUGACGCAGCUAACGCAUUAAGUUCCCCGCCUGGGGAGUACGGCCGCAAGGCUAAAACUCAAAGGAAUUGACGGGGACCCGCACAAGCGGCGGAGCAUGCGGAUUAAUUCGAUGCAACGCGAAGAACCUUACCAAGGCUUGACAUAUACGAGAACGGGCCAGAAAUGGUCAACUCUUUGG
Molecule: ribosomal RNA, 958 nt
Filed under: Microbacterium phyllosphaerae
Lineage: Bacteria; Bacillati; Actinomycetota; Actinomycetes; Micrococcales; Microbacteriaceae
Description: bacterial SSU rRNA
Rfam family: Bacterial small subunit ribosomal RNA
Source: RNAcentral